AUAUCAAUAAGCGGAGGAAAAGAAACUAACAAGGAUUCCCCUAGUAACGGCGAGUGAAGCGGGAAGAGCUCAAAUUUGUAAUCUGGCCGGUCCCCGGUCCGAGUUGUAAUCUGUAGAGCUGUCACUGUGCCAGUCCUUUCAUGAGUCCGUUGGAGUACGGCGUCAAAGAGGGUGAGAACCCCGUUCUUGGUGAGGUCUCUGGUGCUCUGUGUGAUGGUUUCUAAGAGUCGAGUUGUUUGGGAAUGCAGCUCAAAUUGGGAGGUAGAUUCCCUCUAAAGCUAAAUAUUGGCGAGAGACCGAUAGCGCACAAGUA
This 313-nucleotide ribosomal RNA is filed under the name uncultured eukaryote. RNAcentral's name for it is "partial large subunit ribosomal RNA". It matches the Rfam family "Eukaryotic large subunit ribosomal RNA", at positions 40 to 350 of the family's 3401-position model. The record is from RNAcentral.